Odontomachus brunneus is the source of this 5600-nucleotide long non-coding RNA. RefSeq lists it as uncharacterized. The transcript has 4 exons. The record is from RefSeq and is a predicted model, not a curated record. NCBI's taxonomy places the organism in Eukaryota, Metazoa, Arthropoda, Insecta, Hymenoptera, Formicidae.
AGCUGAGGCUGCGCGCGCAGCCGACGGUCGCGCGCGCAUGUUCGCGCGUUUCCGGUGGCGGGAAAACCGCGCGAUUACGAAAGCGCGUUACUGCAUCGCUCGCGGCUCCUCUCCUCUCACCUGCACCUUUUCGCAUUUUUGCCACAUUUGUUUCGAGCGAGCACGUACUGAGGAUGUGUUGACGGAGAGAGGAAGAGCCAAGGAUAACGAUUACAGACGUGAGGUCGUGAGAUAUACGUAUAUCUGUAGAAAGUUAUAAACAAAUGCAUCAGAGAGAAUAACAGUUGCUUUUCUUAUAAUAUAGGGAAUAAGAUUAUAUAGAAAGUAAAAACUGAAAUUUUCAUUAAAUAUUCAAUUAUCCAAAUAAUAGAAAGGAGAUGUAAUAUUCCAAAGUUGCUUGGCUAUUGAUGUGAUAAAAUGAUAACCCAGACAGCAUACUACAUGUCCAAGUGGGACAUAAGAUGUCUUUAAGAUGUCUUUAAGUCGACUUUAAGACAUCUGAACAUAAGACGUUUUUAAGUUGUCUUAAAGAUGUCUUAAAGACAUCUUAUGUCUCAGUUUUGGACAUUGUGCUGUUUGGGAAAUGUCUUUUGAUAAUCAUUAAUUUCCUAUUCAUAGAAUUUAUAAGUACUGUGUAUUUAAUAGUAUUUAUAAUUGUUGUCGACUCAAAAUCUAAGUUUGUAUUAAUAAUAAUAACACUUUUAUUAUUACAGGAAAAAAGAUUAAUAUUAUAGAGUAUGCAAAAAGAAAACCAUCAAUAAGACAACUGAAGCUGCAAGUAUUGAUUUACCUAAGUCUUUGAUAAAUAUCAAUAUGUGGCAUGAAGGAACAACACUGCACUGAAUUCAGGCAUUAGUGUGAUAUCAGUCAAUAAUGCAGCAACAAGUUGUGCAAAUGGAACAUACACAGAGGAUAUAAAAAACUGAAAGAAAGAUUUCAUUUACAGUGUACUCUCCAAUACGUUCAAACCGAAGGUGUCAUUCGUGAGAUGACGCUGGCAGGCUAGAGGUCUGUGGAGUGCUUUCGGGGCAGAAAUACAGUAUCGUAAAAAUUUCACGAGAUUCUGUUAAAACACAUCACGCCGUUCACGUUCGACGUUUCGUAUAAAAAAUUCGUUAGAACCAAAUGAGAGGAAGGAAACGUCGAUAGAGAGCUCGAGUUCGCGUAUAGAUUUUACAGACGGCAGAUCUGCAUGCGAGUAUUAUUAUAUCCCCUAGCGAUUAUCGGGAGAUUGUAGAGGAAGAUUGCUGAGAAUUGCAAGAGGUACGAGAGACCGAUUGUCUUAUAAACGGCGAUACUUUGGGACACGUGAGCGUACGUAAUCUCUCUCUCUCUCCCUCGAGGAGUCUUACAUUUGGAUAUGUUCUCUAAUCAGUCAUUGUGCGCGGGACAGUUCCGUUACAGUUCCGUGGUGAUCUCGUCCUGCGGCCGGAAGCCGAGGAUCGUGAAGUCGUCGAUGAGGUAAUCGCGCGCGGGUGACCAGUCCGACAGGAUGGUGUAAUUCGCCGCCUCAAUGGUGCUCUGGAACUCCCACUGGGGAUUCAGGUCGCGGUCCAGGCCGUCGUUGCACUCGUCGUGUAAGCCGCCGCCGCGGUUUGCAGCUCCAGCGGAUUCCGGCAACUGCGCGCCGGAACCGACGUUGUAGGUAUGAUUGAACGCACUGAUCGCCAGUUCCUGGAGGCGCGAAUUGCCGGGACUCUUUGGCGCCCGCUUUUGGCUGCCGGCGUAGACCAACGGCGUCGUUUGACCGAUUCUCUCGGAACCACUUGGACUGAGCUUCUCGUGAUUGUACAGCACCGAACUGUUCUGACCCAAGCUCGAGCUAACGGGACUGUCCUUUGCGUAGCCGAGACUCGAGCUCGCCGGACUGAUGCUCGACUUGUCGCUCGCCUGAAACGUGGCGAGCGGCACGUUCGCUUGGAAUGUCGUGAGAUUAGUGGGGGUGGUCCUCGGCUCGUACGGCUGGGGUGUCUGCGACGUCGCGACCGCCGGCUGCGACGGCGGUGGUAUCAUUUGGACGGGACUCGUCGGCUGCUGCAGGAACGUCACGAGCUGAGCCACCUUGAAGUCGAAAGAGUGCAAUGAGCGUCGUCGUUGGAGGAUUUGUCAAGACAACGUGUACGUAAACACAAAUCAAAUCGGCAUUGUUGUUGAGAGAGGAAGGGAGCUUUCGACGCGGGAAACUACGGUCUAAUAUUAUUUUUCUCGUUCCUUUUUUCUUCUAUUUUUCCAACACAAUAAACGCACAAAUUAUUCGGUUGCGGGAAAUGCAAGGUGAGAGAACCGUUCGUAUGCGUGGAUCUGCUGCGCUACUACACGGUUUUGCAUACAACUGGAUGAUGUGUAACUCACCAAAGUGCUUUAAGGACUGGCGUGAAAAAGAAUCGAAAAUGUAAGAUAAGAAGCGUCAUCGUUCUCAUACACGACGACAGAGAUAUUCCGCGGGAAGUAAAAAUUCUUACUUCUGGAGAACUGUGCCUCUUAUAUCUUCUCAGCAGCCGCUCUGCCCAUGAAAAUAGUCUUUGCCAGUCAUCAGGCGGAAGCGGUAUCUCGUCGUCUCUUCUGUUCACCAGGACCAAUAUCCUCGCCAGAUCACGUAACACUGGUCUGCAACGACAAUCACAAAGUAGUAAGGCUAACAACCAACCAGCAAACCUCCACGUUACUGUACUCGCGUGUACCUGUACGCCUGGAUUCCGACGGCUCCAUCUCCGUUAUUUCCCGAAUAAUACAAUUCCCUGACUUGUCGUCUGGUGUCGUUGAGCAUCGCGAGGAAGGUGUUGGCCUCUCCCCUGAGCGUCGCCAGGUGCUUCAGAAAUUCUCUCCUCUCCGCACUGAAAUCGUAAAAACGCACUGUUAACCAACGAAGACGGGACGAACAAGCUCGUCAGUCGAACGAACCUAUCCUCGUAUUGCUGCACCAGCUUUGCCGCUCUCUUCUUCCUCCGAUGCACGACUAUCGCGCCGCACACGAUGAUGAAGAUGCAGAUCGUGGCGCCGGAGACCACUCCCACCAGGAUCGCGACCUGGCUACCGGUGAGGCCGAACAUGUAGCCGGUCUCUCGGCAAAUGCGACCCAUGUACUCGUCCCGGGUCGACCAGUCGGCCACGAAACCCGGUGGACAGGUAUGCACGCAGGUGCCCUGAUGUAGCAAGACCGCGCAUCUCGCGCACGUCCCGUCCCUGCAUCUCCUGCAUCCGGUCUCGGACUCGACGCAUUCCACUGCAAAUAUCAACGUUCAUUAGGAUCCACUUCGGAUUUCGACAAGUACAUUUUGAAUUAUUUUCGAGGUUCCUUGAGGAAAUCUCUCAGAGUUUCAUCUAAGGCUCCUGCUCUCUCGCCGCGGAGCUCUUAAUUGGUGACAUCAGAAGCGAGGAAAUGCGUGCCCAACAUCUCUGUAAGAUACGUCGAAAUAAGAUAUAUCCAAGAAUGACACAUGCAAUCGACUUUAAGCACGCCUCCAAAAUACUCCGCAAACACUUUCCUUUUGUUCUAGUCAAUAAAUAAUCGUAAAAUUCACGUAACAAAAUAAUGGGGAAGUGUAGGUUAAACAGGAAAGUUAGUGUAGGUUAAACACGUCACGUUAAUUUUAUGGCUAACUGAUUGUUAAAGCAAUAAGGAAGUGUUCAGAGUAUUUGAGAAUUAUGCUUAAUAGACUGCAAAUGUCACUUUUUAUUUCGACAUAAUUUGCAAAGAUUUUGGGCAUGCAGUUCUGACGUUAUGAAGAUAGCUGGGGUAAGGAACCAAGAGUUUAAAAUUUGUGAAUGAAUAUCACGAAAGACUUAUCUAAAUACUACUUGUCUUCUAGUGAAGUUCCAGUCAAGAAAGCAGAACGAUAUAGCUGAAUGCUUGUAAGAACAACAAAUGACGCAAUCACGAUGCUGAUCACGGUGUGGAUAUCGAAAUGUAUCAACCAGAGAUCGACGGAGAGCUUCGCGCACAUCUAGCGCGACUAGAUACCGAUAUCCGCAAUGUGUGUCAAACAUUUGGGGCCACCGCUCGAGGCUGUGGAUCACCGGUCUCGCGACGAGAAUUCGAUUCGCGCCACCUCGUUCGCUCCUAUGGCAUUUCACGAGGCGCUCGCGAUCCUGCCGGAUAGCGCGAAUCGUUAUUUACACACGGAAAAAAAACUUUGGUUGGAUCAACCAAAUACCCAGUGAAGUAUGAACGAAUUGGAAAAUUGAAAUUACCAGAAUUCUGUGUUCAAGUUAAUUACUCAGAUAGCACAGAGAAUUCAAAAAGAAUUCAGUAUGUCAUCAAUUCUGAGUUCAUUUUUAGAUGCAAAAAGAAUUUUUCUCACUGACUUUGAAGAAUUCUUUUUCUAUCUGAAAAUAAACUCAGAAUUGGUGACAUACGAUUGAAUUCUUUUUGAAUUCUCUGUGUUAUCUGGGUAAACUCUUAACCAUUCUGGAAAUCUUGUUUGAUUAAUCAAUUUUAUAAACUUGAAUUCUGGCAACUUUAAUCGAAAUUUUCUGACUCGUUCACAUUUCAUCAGAUACUUGGUUAAUCCAAUCAAAUGUUCCGCGCGUACAAUGAAACAACUGAUACGUAGAGAGUAAUUCUUUACAGUAAAAAUAAACGCGAAAUCAAUAUCGUCGCGGUGUUCAUUUUAUGAACAAUGGCCAUCACUAUUUUAUCAUAUAUGAUAACAAAUAUCAUUGUAAAUAUAUGAUGUCACCUGAACAUCGCCCGCUAAUUAUUCCGCAUAAUUUCGCAUGCAUUUAAAUAAUGCGCAUACUACCCAAAUCGCGUGCGCGAGCUGUUUUUCUCGGAAACUGUAACGAGGACAGCGAAUGAGGGUUUCUUUCUGUUCGGGUAUGCUUCAGGCUUCAUCGAGAUCCUUCUCUGCGGGAUAUAUUUAUAUUCUCGAUUAGUGCGUCCUCUUCCUUCUCGCUCGACGGCCAGAUACAUCACGGAGAUUGUGAGCGGGAAGGUAGCUGGACACGGAUAGCACUAGAGAAAAUCGGAAGACGUGUGCGUGUGCAAGGGAGAGAGAUUCUCUCGGUCCGCUGAGGGUUCAUUAGUACGUGUAUGAGGAAUGCGGUUGCUGGUUUCUCGAUUAUGUGGGUCUAUAAACGCUGCGCCGCGUCACAGAGCGGGCCCCGACGGAAUACCGCCGGUCACACACAUUCUCCAGGUUGAGAACACUAGGUCGAGCCCGUUUCCCCGGUCCGUCGCCGCGGACUGUGUGUUCCGUGAGCCCCGGGGUCGCCUGUUUACUUUGCCGCCGAGAUCCUUCGCGGCUCGACUCGUCGAUUAUUGCACGAGAGAAUUCCCGCAGAUAUCGGGAAUAUGAGUACCUCCUCGUGGGCGCUUUAACUUUCUACGGCUUCUUCCUUCUCCCGCUUCUUCUCGCUGGUCGCGAUUAGCGGUCGGCGCACGCGACCCCUGUGGAAAAUAUAUCGCAUCUUCGAUUCGUUCGUCGUGCGAGCGACGCACGUACGUACACGUUCUCCCGUAGAAAGUGCCGCGUGGCGUAUAUCGCAGAAAUCGAUAAAUCACGACUUAUAUCCUUGUUAUUUGUGAUCAAGUUCGUUAUAGAAAGCGCCCAUCGAUAAUGGGCUCAACAAAAUAAAACCUGUUUUUGUCUUAAGUUUUA